Molecule: long non-coding RNA, 1348 nt
Filed under: Oryctolagus cuniculus (rabbit)
Lineage: Eukaryota; Metazoa; Chordata; Mammalia; Lagomorpha; Leporidae
Description: lncRNA (ENSOCUG00000035190.1)
Source: RNAcentral
AUGCCGGCGCUCCCUCCCCUUUUCCACGGACUGCCGUGGGAGGGAGAACUGGCAGGAAGACCUCCGUCAGUAAGGAGCCAGGGCUCUGCACUGUCCAGUCCCUUCGUGGCAGGGGUGCAGGGGUGCAGGCUGCUGGCCGCCUCCAGCCGGCUGCCUCCACCAGCUCCCCUGCUUUCUUCUCUUAGCAGCUUCUGGUGCAACCUCAGGGCCAACUGCGACAUCUGGAGUUGGCAGCAGCUCCCGGAGCGCCGCGCCAGGUACCUCCCAGGAAGCAUCACAGACAACCACCACUCCUGGAAUCAGUGGCACAGAGGCCACCACUUCCAAGGAACACAUUCCAACCACUGAAGCAGAGACUUCCCCUGGUGAGUGUCCUCAAGUUUUGCAGCCCCCGUGGCUUUUCUGUUGGAGUCGGCUCUCUACAGAGCAUCGGCCACGAAUGUGCAUGUGGCAGGGGAGUGGUAGUUUUGCUGUCCAGGACACCUCGUGAGGCCAACCAAGAUUCGAUCCCAGGUUAUCCCCAGAGGACACAGUAGAGGUGUCCUCUAUCAAUGCCUGCCGUCUGUAUUUUUCUUUUGCCAUGUUCUACCCCAGACUUGGGAGAGGUCACCAGUGGCAAAGAAGGUGAUUAGAGAUCAUGACAACAGUGGUUGAAAAUAUGAUCAGGAAGACUUUGGUUAAAUGCUUGACCCUUGGUCACAUACUAAAUAAUUUUUAUUUAAUGUAUCCUUUGGAGAAUUAGGGGCUGAAGGCACUGGAAGAAAAUCAUGUGCACAGAAAAAAAAAGUCCUUAAAUUUACAGUCAAAGUCAUAAUGAUUCUAGAUCUAGAGAAAUGAGACCUCUGAGGCCGUUGUCAGCAGUCUCCCCCAUUUUUACCUUGGACCUUGAAUCAAGAGGGAAGGCAGUGGAAAACAUAUCCACUCAAGCAUUUGGUGCAAGAAAAUUUGUCCAAGGUCUUUCUAUUUCUUAAGAGACAAAAGAUGCCAUGGUUUCCUUAGGUUGAGAGAGGCUUUGUCAGGCUCUGUGAGACUUAGUCUCUCUUCUUUUUCAGUUACCAGUAGGGAAGCCUCUGGCACGAGUAGUCCUGGAAGUUCCAACCCAGAUAAGUAACCCUUAGCAAGAUGUUGUAGUUACCUAAUCCUGGACAAAAAGGCUCUGCCCUCUGGAUCGGGCGUUCUGUUGUAGCUGGCACGGAGCAGCCCCUACCUCACUCCUCUUGCUCUUCCCAGAGGACCAGUGAGUGUCCAUCAGUGGUUCUCAGCCCCUGUGUUGAGACUCCAGACCUUGUAUUCCACACGGGGAAGGUGGCAGGGAAACAGGCAUAGGGCCACGUCUCCUUAGGGACCU